Molecule: small nuclear RNA, 106 nt
Organism: Neogale vison (American mink)
Lineage: Eukaryota; Metazoa; Chordata; Mammalia; Carnivora; Mustelidae
Source: Ensembl
GUGCUCGCUUUGGCAGCACAUAUACUAAAAUUGGAACGAUACAGAGAAGAUUAGGAUGGCCCUGUGCAAGGAGGACAUGCAGAUUUGUCAAGUGUCCCAUAAAUUA